AUUGAACGCUGUCGGCAUGCCUUACACAUGCAAGUCGAACGGCAGCACGGGAGCAAUCCUGGUGGCGAGUGGCGAACGGGUGAGUAAUACAUCGGAACGUGCCCAAUCGUGGGGGAUAACGCAGCGAAAGCUGUGCUAAUACCGCAUGAGAUCUACGGAUGAAAGCAGGGGACCGCGAGGCCUUGCGCGAAUGGAGCGGC
RNAcentral lists this ribosomal RNA (200 nucleotides) under uncultured bacterium. RNAcentral's name for it is "partial 16S ribosomal RNA". It matches the Rfam family "Bacterial small subunit ribosomal RNA", at positions 30 to 230 of the family's 1533-position model. The record is from RNAcentral.